GAUGAACGCUGGCGGCGUGCCUAAUACAUGCAAGUCGAGCGAACGGACGAGAAGCUUGCUUCUCUGAUGUUAGCGGCGGACGGGUGAGUAACACGUGGAUAACCUACCUAUAAGACUGGGAUAACUUCGGGAAACCGGAGCUAAUACCGGAUGAUAUUUUGAACCGCAUGGUUCAAAAGUGAAAGACGGUCUUGCUGUCACUUAUAGAUGGAUCCGCGCUGCAUUAGCUAGUUGGUAAGGUAACGGCUUACCAAGGCAACGAUGCAUAGCCGACCUGAGAGGGUGAUCGCCCACACUGGAACUGAGACACGGUCCAGACUCCGACAGGAGGCAGCAGUAGGGAAUCCUCCGCAAUGGGCGAAAGCCUGACGGAGCAACGCCGCGUGAGGGAUGAAGGUCUUAGGAUCGUAAAACGCUGUUGUUAGGGAGGAACAAAUGUGUAAGUAACUGUGCACAUCAUGACGGUACCUAAUGAGAAAGCCACGGCUAACUACGUG
This 497-nucleotide ribosomal RNA is filed under the name uncultured bacterium. RNAcentral's name for it is "partial 16S ribosomal RNA". It matches the Rfam family "Bacterial small subunit ribosomal RNA", at positions 28 to 507 of the family's 1533-position model. The record is from RNAcentral.